Molecule: long non-coding RNA, 520 nt
Organism: Varanus komodoensis (Komodo dragon)
Lineage: Eukaryota; Metazoa; Chordata; Lepidosauria; Squamata; Varanidae
Exons: 2
Source: RefSeq, a predicted model, not a curated record
GGCCGGUGCUGCUCGCGGCCGUUCCUUCGCGGAGCCUCCUCCCCGCCACGCAAGGAUGUUUCUCUGCCCUGGUCCCGGGUCUCUGCAGAGCCGCGUCUAAAAUUUCGUGUCUUUCAGAAUCGAUAAAAAUGAAGGGCUGGCGGAAAAGCUUGUUCUUGUUUUUGCAAUGUGAAGACGACCAACAUAGUUCAGACGCAAUGCUGUGCAAAGGCAGACAUGAACAGCCCCACCGCUGCCAGCCUGCUGCUGCCUCACCUUGCAUAAAACCAACAGGAGGGUGUUCCGUGUGGAGAAGUGCAAGGCCUCGCCCUUGGGGCACAGGAAUGGGUGUCAUGAGUACAGCAAUCCUUAAGCUAGGCCAAAAGUGACCAACCUCACAAGGCAAUGACCCAGGAAAGGUAAUAAGCCACGCUAAACAGAAAACAACACCUUAAUGACAUGCCAAUCUGAAGUAGAUCAUCAAAUCACAACUUGGAAUAAAAUGCAAUAAAACUGGCAGCAUGAGCCACAAAAAAACAAA